CCCUACGGGAGGCUGCAGUGGGGAAUAUUGGACAAUGGGCGCAAGCCUGAUCCAGCCAUGCCGCGUGAGUGAUGAAGGCCUUAGGGUUGUAAAGCUCUUUCGCCAGGGACGAUAAUGACGGUACCUGGAUAAGAAGCCCCGGCUAACUUCGUGCCAGCAGCCGCGGUAAUACGAAGGGGGCUAGCGUUGUUCGGAAUUACUGGGCGUAAAGCGUAUGCAGGCGGAUCGUUAAGUCGGGGGUGAAAUCCCGAGGCUCAACCUCGGAACUGCCUUCGAUACUGGCGAUCUUGAGUCCGGGAGAGGUGAGUGGAACUCCGAGUGUAGAGGUGAAAUUCGUAGAUAUUCGGAAGAACACCAGUGGCGAAGGCGGCUCACUGGCCCGGUACUGACGCUCAUGCACGAAAGCGUGGGGAGCAAACAGGAUUAGAUACCCGAGUAGUC
Molecule: ribosomal RNA, 441 nt
Filed under: uncultured Hyphomicrobiales bacterium
Lineage: Bacteria; Pseudomonadati; Pseudomonadota; Alphaproteobacteria; Hyphomicrobiales
Description: bacterial SSU rRNA
Rfam family: Bacterial small subunit ribosomal RNA
Source: RNAcentral